This 305-nucleotide long non-coding RNA is filed under the name Homo sapiens (human). RNAcentral's name for it is "HSALNT0260504". The record is from RNAcentral. Lineage: Eukaryota; Metazoa; Chordata; Mammalia; Primates; Hominidae.
CUGGUGGACUUACAUUACCAGAGAUCAACAUUUAUUAUAAAUUUUCUAUAAUUAAUACAGUGUGGUAUUCGCUCAGGAGAGAAAAAAUAGAUCAAUGGAAAAGAAUUGGGAGCCCAAAAACAGAUCCACAUGUAUACAGUGAGUUAGUUUAUUAGCCUUGAAAUAUGUUGGAGAAAUAAUAGUCAUUUUAAUAACUGAUGCUGGGUUAUCAGUUAUACUGAUAACUACUACUUAACACUACUUAACACUAGCUCUUCAUACAACUACAGGCAAUAAAUACAAAUAGCAUGCAGCUGGCAGACUGG